Molecule: non-coding RNA, 1801 nt
Organism: Macaca mulatta (Rhesus monkey)
Lineage: Eukaryota; Metazoa; Chordata; Mammalia; Primates; Cercopithecidae
Source: RefSeq, a predicted model, not a curated record
GUGAAGACAGCAGGCAUGGUGGGGCGGGAGAAAGAGCUCUCUAUACACUUUGUUCCCAGGAGCUGCCGGCUGGUGGAGGAGGAAGUUAACAUCCCUAAUAGGAGGGUUCUGGUUACUGGUGCCACUGGGCUUCUUGGCAGAGCUGUACACAAACAAUUUCAGCAGAAUAAUUGGCAUGCUGUUGGCUGUGGUUUUAGAAGAGCAAGACCAAAAUUUGACCAGGUUAAUCUGUGGAUUCUAAUGCAGUUCAUCACAUCAUUCAUGAUUUUCAGCCCCAUGUUAUAGUGCAUUGUGCAGCAGAGAGAAGACCAGAUGUUGUAGAAAAUCAGCCAGAUGCUGCCUCUCAACUUAAUGUGGAUGCUUCUGGGAAUUUAGCAAAGGAAGCAGCUGCUGUUGGGGCAUUUCUCAUCUACAUUAGCUCAGAUUAUGUAUUUGAUGGAACAAAUCCACCUUACAGAGAGGAAGACAUACCAGCUCCCCUAAAUUUGUAUGGCAAAACAAAAUUAGAUGGAGAAAAGGCUGUCCUGGAGAACACUUUAGGAGCUGCUGUUUUGAGGAUUCCUAUUCUGUAUGGGGAAGUUGAAAAGCUCGAAGAAUGUGACUGUUAUGUUUGAUAAAGUGCAGUUCAGCAACAAGUCAGCAAACAUGGAUCACCAGCAGCAGAGGUUCCUCACACAUGUCAAAGAGGUGGCCACUGUGUGCUGGCAGCUAGCAGAGAAGAGAAUGCUGGAUCCAUCAAUUAAGGGAACCUUUCACUGGUCUGGCAAUGAACAGAUGACUAAGUAUGAAAUGGUGUGUGCAAUUGCAGAUGCCUUCAACCUCCCCAGCAGUCACUUAAGACCUAUUACUGACAGCCCUGUCCUAGGAGCACAGCGUCCAAGAAAUGCUCAGCUUGACUGCUCCAAAUUGGAGACCUUGGGCACUGGCCAACGAACACCACUUCGAAUUGGAAUUAAAGAAUCACUUUGGCCUUUCCUCAUUGACAAGAGAUGGAGACAAAUGGUCUUUCAUUAGUUUAUUUGUGUUGAGUUUUUUUUUUUUUUUUAAUGAAAAGUAUAGCAUGUGGCACUUUUUAAAGAACAAAGGAAAUAGUUUUGUAUGAGUACUUUAAUUGUGACUCUUAGGAUCUUUCAGGUCAAUGAUGCUCUUGCACUAGUGAAAUUGUCUAAAGAAACUAAAGGGCAAUGUUGCCCUGUUUGCAGUAAUUUUUCUUUUUAUCAUUUUGUUUGUCCUGGCUAAACUUGGAGUUUGAGUAUAGUAAAUUAGAUCCUUAAAUAUUUGAGAGCCAGGAUGAAGCAGAUCUGCUGUAGACUUUUCAGAUGAAAUGCAUUGUUCAUUCUCAUAACCUCCAUAUUUUCAGGAUUUUUGAAGCUGUUGACCUUUUCAUGUUCAUUAUUUUAAAUUGUGUGAAAUGGUAUAGAAAUCAUUGGUGUUCAUUAUUUGCUUUGCUUGAGCUCAGAUCAAAAUGUCUGAAGAAAGGAACUUUAUUUUUGCAAGUUAUGUACAGUUUUUAUGCUUAAGAUAUUUCAACAUGUUAUGUAUAUUGGAACUUCUACAGCUUGAUGCUUCCUGCUUUUAUAGCAGUUUAUGGGGAGCACUUGAAAGAGCAUGUGUACGUGUAUUUUUUUCCUAGGUAAACAUUGAAUGCAAAUGUGUAUUUUUUUAAUAUAAAUAUAUAACUGUCCUUUUCAUCCCAUGUUGCCGCUAAGUGAUAUUUCGUAUGUGUGGUUAUACUCAUAAAAAUGGGCCUUGUAAGUCUUUUCACCAUUCAUGAAUAAUAAUAAAUAUGUACUGCUGGCAU